AGUGAACGCUGGCGGUAGGCCUAACACAUGCCAGUCGAACGGCAGCACAGUAAGAGCUUGCUCUUACGGGUGGCGAGUGGCGGACGGGUGAGGAAUACAUCGGAAUCUACUUUUUCGUGGGGGAUAACGUAGGGAAACUUACGCUAAUACCGCAUACGACCUACGGGUGAAAGCAGGGGAUCUUCGGACCUUGCGCGAUUGAAUGAGCCGAUGUCGGAUUAGCUAGUUGGCGGGGUAAAGGCCCACCAAGGCGACGAUCCGUAGCUGGUCUGAGAGGAUGAUCGGCCACACUGGAACUGAGACACGGUCCAGACUCCUACGGGAGGCAGCAGUGGGGAAUAUUGGACAAUGGGCGCAAGCCUGAUCCAGCCAUACCGCGUGGGUGAAGAAGGCCUUCGGGUUGUAAAGCCCUUUUGUUGGGAAAGAAAAGCAGCAGGUUAAUACCCCGCUGUUCUGACGGUACCCAAAGAAUAAGCACCGGCUAACCUCGUG
RNAcentral lists this ribosomal RNA (492 nucleotides) under uncultured bacterium. RNAcentral describes it as "partial 16S ribosomal RNA". It matches the Rfam family "Bacterial small subunit ribosomal RNA", at positions 29 to 507 of the family's 1533-position model. The record is from RNAcentral.